AUAUACACACAAAUAUAGUAUAUCUAUAAGAGAGACAGGAAAUACUGGCUUUCUGUUUGUGAUGAAAUGCAAAUUCCUUAUGUAUUUUUCCAAAAUGUUUAAAAUGAGGCUUUUGUAAUCAGAAGUAUAUAAGCCCCCUUCCCCCAAAGAAAAUGAUUAUUCUACUGCCCGUCUUGACUGUAUUCUUACUUGGGGGCAGGGUGGGUGGCGUGAACAGGGAGAGCUAAUCUCUCCUUCUUUCUGACUCAUUCCACAGUCAAUCCUUUUUCUUAUUAUUUUCCAAAGGCAUGAGGACCUUCCAUGUUCCGAAACCAUUGUCCAGAGUAUUUCUUCUGGACUAUUUUCCACUUCCUUCCAUCUGACCGGCCAGCUGUUCUGCAUUUGUAAAAGCUGGUUUCUGAUGUCAUCUCUAGGCAGGACCGCUCCCUCCCUCUCCUGCACUCCUAUACUUCGUGGCAUAUCCGCCCCAAGAUAACACUUGUCACUCUGUUUUCCAAAUUCAGUUUCAUUCAUUUGCUUCACAUGUGCACUGAGCCCACUGACUUCUUUCCCUGUCUGUUGCCAGCACUGGAGACCAAGCCUGCACGCUUUGGCCCAGACCAUCUCAUUCACCUUUUAACACAGAAUCAGGGCCAUUCUCAAGCACAACCUGGGUGAGGCUCUGUCAUUGCUUAAUGGAUCAGCUGUAUAGUAACAGCAGAAGAUAAAACAUGGCUUCCAGAUCAGCUAAAGUAUCAACAAGAAUGAAAAUGACACUUCAAAGGAUUUAAGUGAAGAGAGUGUCGUGAAGAUUAUUUGUAGAGAUGUGGGAUCAGAUGAGAAACACCCUGGGACCAGAAACAGCAGAAGCCCUAAUGCCUGCCAAAGGGCAAGACCAGGGUGAGCUCCUACCCACAGUAUCUGGCGAGAGCUGGAGCCCUGAGACAGGGAUGGGGCCUACUGGCACUUGGAAAGUGUACUGGGGUCUUAGUGAACUGAUGUCAUUUCCUCUUCUCUUCCCCAGGAUUUGAGAUUUCUAAAAACAACAACAACAACAACAACAACAACAACAAAACCCUAUACAAAUCUAAAUUAGUUAAAAAAAAAAAAACUAAAGUGGUUGGAUGGGAGCUAUGGCUUAGGAAGAGAAACACAGCCCAUCAAAGAGGGACUAGGGAUUUAAAUAACCCUCUCUUCUCUCUUCCUGUCCAUGCCUUCUGUUGGGUGAAACUAGCAGCCAGAAGGCAAGGGGGCCUGGGUGGAGAUGUCCAGUGGCAUUAGCCUCCCAGGUACAGAGAGAUGCAGAGAAAGAUGCAAAAUAGACCUGGAGUAGCUGAGAAUCAUCUUGUCAUUUGUCACCUAUUAGCCAGUUGCUUUGUCCAAGGCCUUGAGCCUCAGUUUUCUAUAGAGUGGGCAUCAAACUUGUCUACCUCUUGUCUGCCUCACAGGGCCAUGGGGAACAGCCAGUGAAAGUGUUAAAAUCAUUCGCUUGCCAUUUGACCCUCUUCUUCAUCUGCAUUAUCUCACUUAAUUCCUCAACAGCCGGGUAGGGUAUAAGGCAGAGAGGCCAGGGGACAAGGACAGGCAGGCACUUUGGAAUCAGAAGAAGAGGUCAUCAACUGUGGCUCAGCCAAGCUUUUUAACUGUGAGAUCAUGGGAAACUGAAGCUCUCUGAACCUCAGCUAUUGUCUUACUUUGAGCUCCCCCAAAAUCACAUCCUGAGACAAAUAUUUGAGUGCAAAUAGUUCAUUUGGGAGCUGAUCCCAGGAUGCACCAGGAGGGACUGGGCAGGGACUCAGAAAAGGGAAGAAACCCAAUUAUUGGUGUAUUCACAAGUGGGCAACUCGGUCUCAGUGCCACAACUGUGAUGAAGACUGUGCAGGACACAUCCUGGGGUUGGUGGAAUGCAGGGUGCGGGUGCUGGGGUGUUUAUUCACCACCUUCCAUCCCUCACUGGCUGAGGGUUGUUCUUGGAAGUUUUAACUCCCUGGCCAUUUCACACUGCCUGCUGUGGCCAGAGGAGACUCAAGCAGCCAGAGAGUGCCAUGGGGUGGAGACACACAGGAAGCCACAUAGAUGCCCUCCAGCAUGGGCCAGGAGGGAAUGUCUGGGGGACCGACAGCAUCCGUUUUGUUUUUCUAAUUUGUAUGCUAGAGAUGAUGUCUAUGUCACAGGACAGUGACAGAGAUGAAAUGAUUAAUGAUUAAAUGGCUAAAUGUCUUCCAAGUGCCUGGCUCAUAGUAGGUAUCCAAAGAAAAGGAGGCAUUCAUAGUAAAGAUGGGUAAAUAUUCAUGUGUUACAGAUGGAAGCAAAUGGGACUCAAAGAAGUUAAGACAUUUGCCCUAAAUCACACAGACAGUUCUUAAAUGGCCAAGUCAGAUCUGGCCCCAGUUUGUUCCCCUUCCACUCUGCCGUGGCUACCUCCUGUUAAUGGACUAUACAUUUAGAGUGCUUUUGCCUCAUAAAGUGUGUGAAGCUCCAUAAAUAUAAAAUGUUUGUAGUCCCAGCCUUGCUAGCUCAAAUCCAAGUUAAAUUGACUCUUGGGUAGUUCUUCUCUCAGCCCCAAUUCUCAUAAGCUCAAAUAUAUAUUUUCUUAGUCCCCUGGGAUCCUCCAUUCUGUGCCCCAACAAUCCCUAACCCUUCAUUAGUAAUGCCUAGAUGUCUCCACAUAUUUCAAGGGGUGCCAGAAAGUCUCCAGACAAAAUAAAAGAUGCCAUAAAACACCAAGUGCAUAAAACUCUAGACACCUUGUUCUCCAUGUCAUGUUUCCUUUUAAAAACAAAUAUUUUGAAAUGCCCUCUUUACUAUCCUGCUGAUACACACAUAAAAACUAAUAAAAUGCACAAACUCUUUUCUUAAAAAUUGUGGGAAGAUAUACAUAAUAAAAAAUUUACCAUUUUAACC
This 2883-nucleotide long non-coding RNA is filed under the name Homo sapiens (human). RNAcentral's name for it is "HSALNT0370251". Lineage: Eukaryota; Metazoa; Chordata; Mammalia; Primates; Hominidae. The record is from RNAcentral.